RNAcentral lists this ribosomal RNA (573 nucleotides) under uncultured Bacillota bacterium. RNAcentral's name for it is "bacterial SSU rRNA". It matches the Rfam family "Bacterial small subunit ribosomal RNA", at positions 352 to 916 of the family's 1533-position model. The record is from RNAcentral. Lineage: Bacteria; Bacillati; Bacillota.
CAGUAGGGAAUCUUCCGCAAUGGACGAAAGUCUGACGGAGCAACGCCGCGUGAGUGAUGAAGGGUUUCGGCUCGUAAAGCUCUGUUGUUAAGGAAGAAUACUUGAGGUAGUAACUGGCCUUGAGAUGACGGUACUUAACCAGAAAGCCACGGCUAACUACGUGCCAGCAGCCGCGGUAAUACGUAGGUGGCAAGCGUUAUCCGGAAUUAUUGGGCGUAAAGCGCGCGUAGGCGGUAAAAUAAGUCUGAUGUGAAAGCCCCCGGCUCAACCGGGGAGGGUCAUUGGAAACUGUUUUACUUGAGUACAGAAGAGGAGAGUGGAAUUCCAUGUGUAGCGGUGAAAUGCGCAGAGAUAUGGAGGAACACCAGUGGCGAAGGCGGCUCUCUGGUCUGUUACUGACGCUGAGGUGCGAAAGCGUGGGGAUCAAACAGGAUUAGAUACCCUGGUAGUCCACGCCGUAAACGAUGAGUGCUAAGUGUUGGGGGGUUUCCGCCCCUCAGUGCUGCAGCUAACGCAUUAAGCACUCCGCCUGGGGAGUACGACCGCAAGGUUGAAACUCAAAGGAAUUGACGG